AGUAACACGUGGUCAACCUUCCCUACAGUGGGGAUAACUAGCCGAAAGGUUAGCUAAUACCGCAUAACAUCUACGAGCGGCAUCGCUUGUAGAUCAAAGGAGCAAUCCGCUGAAGGACGGGACCGCGUCCCAUUAGUUAGUUGGUGGGGUAAUGGCCUACCAAGACUCCGAUGGGUAGCUGGUUUGAGAGAGCGACCAGCCACACUGGGACUGAGAAACGGCCCAG
Molecule: ribosomal RNA, 226 nt
Filed under: uncultured bacterium
Lineage: Bacteria
Description: partial 16S ribosomal RNA
Rfam family: Bacterial small subunit ribosomal RNA
Source: RNAcentral